CCUACGGGUGGCAGCAGUGAGGAAUAUUGGUCAAUGGCCGAGAGGCUGAACCAGCCAAGUCGCGUGAGGGAAGACGGCCCUACGGGUUGUAAACCUCUUUUGUCGGGGAGCAAAGCGAGUCACGUGUGACUCAUUGAGAGUACCCGAAGAAAAAGCAUCGGCUAACUCCGUGCCAGCAGCCGCGGGAAUACGGAGGAUGCGAGCGUUAUCCGGAUUUAUUGGGUUUAAAGGGUGCGCAGGCGGGGGUGCAAGUCCGCGGUCAAAUUUCGGGACUCAACCCCGUCAGGCGGUUGAAACUGCAUCCCGUGAGUGAGCGAGAAGUAUGCGGAAUGCGUGGUGUAGCGGUGAAAUGCAUAGAUAGCACGCAGAACUCCGAUUGCGAAGGCAGCAUACCGGCGCGCAACUGACGCGCAUGCACGAAAGCGUGGGUAUCGAACAGGAUUAGAUACCCGGGUAGUC
RNAcentral lists this ribosomal RNA (459 nucleotides) under uncultured bacterium. RNAcentral describes it as "partial 16S ribosomal RNA". It matches the Rfam family "Bacterial small subunit ribosomal RNA", at positions 338 to 795 of the family's 1533-position model. The record is from RNAcentral.